GAGCUCCGAGAGGGCCCACACCAAACCGCACACACCACGUCACCACCGCCGUCUCCGAGCUCCAAGAGGGCCCACACCAAACCGCGCCGCCUUCACGCUCGAGCCGCGCACGACCCCUCCCCACCUCGCUGCCGGCGUCGCUUUGCUUCGCAGAUGGCGUCGGAAGAGGCGGAGCGUGCCGUCAUCACGAAGGCGGUCGCCGUGAGGGCGAGGGACCUGGUCCGGGCUCUCCUCGCGCCUGGAGGCCUGGUGAGCGUCGAGGACGCAGGGGAGACCGUGGCCGUCAGCGUGAGGAGCUGCGUCGCCAAGACUUCCCCGGAGAACCUCGCCGUGCGCAGACAGGACGUCGAGAAGCUGGCCGUUGCGGCCGCCACGGCCUCCCUCACCGUCAUCGUCAACGUCGGUUUAAGCUGGAUCACUGACCGCACCCCACAGCAUGGUAGAGGAGGUAAUCACCAAGGCAGUUGUGGCUUCCCGUGCCCAGGUGGAAGACACGAGGACCUCCUCGGACUACAUUUUUGUUCUCUGGUACUUGGUUGUGACUUUCUGCUGCGGGGUGGCACUGCUUGUUGUUCGUCUUAGCAACUAGUGACCUUAAUGAGUAGAUGCUUUGUCUAGCUCGAAUCGCUGAAGGAUGAAACUUGUGGUGAUUACUUCUGGAUAACUCGAUAACACCUUGGUGGCACAAAAAUGAUGAAAUUCUGUGGUAAACUGAAAGGUGAGCUAAAGUACUCUGGCAUUGGAGGAUGAUCUAUUGGAAUAUUGGUAAAUCUUAGCUGUGUUUCCCAUCUUUUCCGAGGAAAAAGGAACCUAUUCGCUAUAAGUGUAGUUUCUAUAAGAUAUCGUUAGGAUCUUGGAGAUCCAGACCAAGAACAACUCGAUGACUUCAUCUAUCAAUUUCGUAAAACCCUGCUUGACUCAAUAUUUAACGCUCCAAACAAAUCAUUUGGGAGUUGGAUCAUAACCUGCAAUUGAUAGAUGAAGCUCUUUUUGAUAUGGCAAUCGAUGCAGUGGUUGGCGACGGCGAAUCCAUCCUAUUCUGGACAGACCGGUGGCUUAAUGGGGGAACACUGGCUGAAUUAGCCCCCAAUGUAUUCAGAACUGUACCAAAAAGAGUGAGAAAGUCAAGGACAAUAGCUCAAGCACUACAAAAUAGAGGGUGGGUUCAAGACAUUAGAGGUGCUUUAACAGUUCAAGUCUUGAUGGAGUAUCUGCAGGUUUGGGACCUUAUGGAUGGGGUAAUUUUACAGCAGGGGGUACCUGAUCAGUUCCGGUGGAAAUUAAGUCCGUCAGGUUCCUAUAGCAGCAAAACAGCUUAUGCUGCCUGCUUUGUCGGCUCCAUCAGAUUUCCACCCUGGAAGCGAAUCUGGAAGAGCUGGGCUCCUCUGCGCUGCAAGUUCUUCCUCUGGUUAGCCAUCAAGCAACGCAUUUGGACUGCUGAUCGCCUCGCCAAGCGGGGCCUGCCUCACCAAGCUGCUUGCCCUCUUUGCGACCAAGAACAUGAAACAGCCAGGCAUCUCCUUCUCACCUGUGUGUUCACCCGGCAAUGCUGGUCGCUAAUAUCUCAGCACCUGAAUUUGGUCAUUGCCGGGCCUGCUACUUCGACGACCAGUUUUUCAGCUUGGUGGAGCUUAACUAUAAAAUCUGUGCCAAAAGAUCGUCGCAGGGGUCUGAACUCCCUCAUCAUCCUGGUCACAUGGGAAAUCUGGAAGCACCGCAAUGCUUGUGUGUUCGAGGGUGCUCGGCCAAGUGUUCAGUUGCUCCUCCAGACUGUGUCCAGCGAGUGUGCUCUUUGGUGCAUGGCAAGAGCAUCCAAACUCAAGGAGCUCCUAGAUAGGUCGAUGCCCCUGGCACCUUAGGUCCUAGGGGCAUGAUCAUGGAUUGUUUUUCUUUUGUAAGAGUCGACCUUUACAAAACUGUACGGAGUACAGGGGUUGUCUAACCUCUGUACUCUCUCCUUUUUUUCUAUCUUAAAUGAAAUGACGUGCAGUCCUCAUGCGCCGUUCGAGAAAAAAAAA
Molecule: RNA transcript, 2018 nt
Organism: Panicum virgatum (switchgrass)
Lineage: Eukaryota; Viridiplantae; Streptophyta; Magnoliopsida; Poales; Poaceae
Exons: 5
Source: RefSeq, a predicted model, not a curated record